AUUGAACGCUGGCGGCAUGCCUUACACAUACAAGUCGAACGGCAGCAUGGAAGAGCUUGCUCUUCUGAUGGCGAGUGGCGAACGGGUGAGUAAAGCAUCGGAACGUACCGUGUAGUGGGGGAUAACGUAGCGAAAGUUACGCUAAUACCGCAUACGCACUGAGGUGGAAAGCAGGGGAUCGCAAGACCUUGCGCUAUACGAGCGGCCGAUGUCAGAUUAGCUAGUUGGUAGGGUAAAGGCCUACCAAGGCGACGAUCUGUAGCGGGUCUGAGAGGAUGAUCCGCCACACUGGGACUGAGACACGGUCCAGACUCCUACGGGAGGCAGCAGUGGGGAAUCUUGCGCAAUGGGCGAAAGCCUGACGCAGCCAUGCCGCGUGUAUGAUGAAGGUCUUAGGAUUGUAAAAAUACUUUACACCGGUGAAGAUAAAUGACUGUAGCCGGAGAAGAAGCCCCGGCUAACUUCGUGCCAGCAGCCG
RNAcentral lists this ribosomal RNA (478 nucleotides) under uncultured bacterium. Its description in RNAcentral is "bacterial SSU rRNA". It matches the Rfam family "Bacterial small subunit ribosomal RNA", at positions 30 to 517 of the family's 1533-position model. The record is from RNAcentral.